Molecule: ribosomal RNA, 292 nt
Filed under: uncultured bacterium
Lineage: Bacteria
Description: partial 16S ribosomal RNA
Rfam family: Bacterial small subunit ribosomal RNA
Source: RNAcentral
GUGUCAGCAGCCGCGGUAAGACGUAGGAGGCGAGCGUUGUCCGGAUUCAUUGGGCGUAAAGAGCGCGCAGGCGGCUUGGUAAGUCGGAUGUGAAAACCCGAGGCUCAACCUCGGGCGUGCAUCCGAAACUGCUCGGCUAGAGGUAGGUAGGGGAGAUCGGAAUUCCUGGUGUAGCGGUGAAAUGCGCAGAUAUCAGGAGGAACACCGGUGGCGAAGGCGGAUCUCUGGGCCUUACCUGACGCUCAGGCGCGAAAGCUAGGGGAGCGAACUGGAUUAGAAACCCUCGUAGUCC